This is an RNA transcript of Musa acuminata AAA Group (dessert banana), 3765 nucleotides long. It is a transcript of the gene named myosin-binding protein 1-like, with no coding region annotated. NCBI's taxonomy places the organism in Eukaryota, Viridiplantae, Streptophyta, Magnoliopsida, Zingiberales, Musaceae. The transcript is spliced from 5 exons. The record is from RefSeq and is a predicted model, not a curated record.
CGCUUAAAUCUAUCUUCUCUUCCUCGAUCUAAUUCGAUAUCUCGAAGGCGAUUACUGACUUUUGUCUCGUCCGUGGACAUGGAAAUUUAGCCGGGUUGGCUUUAGCCUAUCGCCUUUCGGUCGGUGCCGUGUCGUUAUCUCGCGAUCCCAGCCGACCUUUUCGUCAUUCGACGUCAGCGCCUCGGAAUAAUGUCAAUAACGGAGACUGGGAAGGAGAGUGGUGGGAGGUGAUAGCCUCACCUUUCGGUUGCUUUUGUCUUUCUCUUGCCCUAGUAGACCCGAUUCCACCGGUCGCAUCCUCUUCUCUUCGCUCGUCGGCUGCGGAAGAAGUCUGAAGAAGUGGCAACUGUCAGCUGGGAUUCACGAAUAACAACUGCAAUUUGCUCUACUCCUGAAGUUUGCGGGCUGUUUCAUCUCUCCGCCUAUAUAGGUGCCUGAGAAGUUGAUGUAAAACCGGCUAGGGAUGGGUUCAAGGGCUCACAUCAGUGGUUUCAAGCGAUUCUCAUCUGCUUUGUCUUUGGCGAUUCUUGAAUGGAUAUUGAUGCUUCUAUUACUCUUUGAUGCCUGGUUUUCCUACAUGGUGACAAAAUUCUCUCGUAUAUGCAAGUUACAAACGCCUUGUAUAUUCUGCUCAAGGCUAGAUCACAUAUUUGGAAGUGAGAAACUGGACUUCUAUCUAGAUUUAAUUUGUGAAACCCACAGAUCAGAGAUCUCAUCACUGGCCUUGUGUCAUGCUCACGGGAAGCUUGCUGAUGUUCACACCAUGUGCAAGUCUUGUCUCCUCUCAUUGAAACCUGAAACUUACAGAUCUCUGGUAGGUAAUCUUGGAAGACAUUUUGAUUAUAGAGAGAACAUUCAGUAUGUUGAUGGUGAUGGCCUCUAUGUGCGUGAUGAGGAUGAUUUGGUGAAUGUCCCUUUUCUGAAGAAGGAUGAGACAAAUUGCUCUCCUGUCAAAAUAAUUUGUUCAUGUUGUGCUGAGCCUCUCCAACAUAAACUUCAUGCCAUUAGGUUGCUUGAGGAUGAAUCCAUCGAAGUUGAUGUUUCCGAAAUUGACAUUUCUUUGUCAAGUUUAACUGGAGAUGGGAUGAGAAAGACUAGAGAAAAAACUUUGGUUUCCCCAACAUCUGACCAUUUGAGGAAUCAAGGAUUAGACGAGUUCUCUCACAUUGUACACAGUGAAGUUAAAGUUACUACUGACUCUGACUCAGAAGUCCAGCAUAUAGAUGAUGGUAAAGGAAAAUCUCUGGCUCAUGGAGCUGAAAAUGCCAAGGAUGAUUUGAUGUAUCAAAAUGUAGAACCAGAGAAUGCCACAGAUAUUGGAAGUGUUUCAGAUAAUAAAACAAUAGGAAAAUUAAAUUACUCUGAUCCAGUUAGUAUUUCAGACAAUAAAGCCUUGCAAAAGUUGAUUCACUCUGCCCCAGAUAUUGACGAGCCUUCUGAAUCAGUUUCUGAGAAGCAAAAAUGUGUAGGUGAGCUCCAUGAUGUAUUAGAAAUUUCAUCUUCUGGUGCUGCUGGACAUAUUCCAAAGGAUAGCAAUUGGAACCAAAUCGAAAUCAAUGCUAAGCCCCCUCAAUCUAAAUUUGUGUCAAAAGAUCCCCAAGAAGUUCCUGUGGAGGACUCAAAUGUAAAAGUAGAUAAGUUGGAGCAAAGUGAUGCUGCAUGUGUCAAUACUACUUAUGUGGAUGAUGUGAAGGAUUGGUGUGCAAAGGACAUUGAUUUGGGGAUAAGCCAUGAUGCAAGUGACCCUGGUCAAUCUAUGAGUAAUCAUAUGGAUCUGAAUGAUGCGUAUAAGCUUGCUGUUGGUGCUAAGGGAAGCUUGCCAUCUCCUAGAUUUGCUGAUGUUAUUAUGGGAAAGGAUUCUUCUAGGGUUCAGGAAGAUCUGAAACUGCUAAUUUCUCAAAUAUCUGCAUCUCGGGGCCUUGAGUCUCCAUGGCAUGAAAUGACUCCUAGUCCUCGAGUAUAUGGACAAGAUGACGAAUCUGUUUUGCAGAACAUAACCAAGACGCUCUCUCUUGAGAGGAAUGAAUCAGGCUUAGAGUCACUAGAUGGAAGUUUUGUUAGUGAGGUGGAAGGGGAAAGUGCAUUUGAGAGACUAAAGAGGCAGGUUGAGUUGGACAGGAAGUCCAUAAACCUUCUCUACAAGGAAUUAGAAGAAGAAAGAAGUGCUUCAGCAAUUGCGGCAAAUCAAGCAAUGGCCAUGAUUACUAGGUUGCAAGAGGAGAAGGCUGCUAUGCAAAUGGAGGCUCUGCAUUACCAAAGAAUGAUGGAAGAGCAAGCUGAAUAUGACCAUGAAGCACUUCAGAAAUGCAAUGAGUUGCUUACUCAAAGAGAGAAAGAAAUGCAAGAUUUGGAAGCUGAGAUGGAAAUCUAUAGGAAAAGCUUUACAGAUAAAUUAUCCAAUGAUCAAGCAGUGGAACUGAAUGGUAAUUUCCAUGAUAAGGAGCUUGAAUCAUGUAACAAAUCUAGGGAAAAUCAUGUAAUGCAUCGAGAUUCCAGAUGGAGUAACUUUGAUAGUUUGAAGAAUCCCUUAUCAUGUUUUGAAGAUGAGGAGGCGUAUCUAUCAAAUUGUUUGGUGAAGUUGGAGAAAAAGCUUCAUCUUUUUUCCAAUCAUGGUGUUUUUGAUGAUGGUUCUAGUUUAUUAGUGAAUGAUGAUGAAAAUGGAUUUCCCGAAAACACAUGUACAGAUAUUCAAGGUGAAGAUUUUAUACAAAGAAACAGAGUGUCAGAAGGUGGUGUAGGCACAAAUGGUUGGUACUCUGACAAGAUUGCAUCUGCAGGUCCAGAGCACCUGUAUCAGAAAGAUGGUCCCCUUGAAAAUAGUCAGGUAGGAGGGAUUUUAAUGGAUGAAAAGUUAUCCAGGAAACCUUCAAGUUCCUUUCAAGGAAACCAUGAAGACAGCUUUGACAUUGACAAGUACUUGAAAGUAGUUAACAAGAGUGACUUAGUUGCUCUUGAGGAUGAAGUGUCAUGUUUAAGUCAGAGGUUGGAGGCACUUGAGUCAGAUCGUAAUUUUCUUGAACAUGCUAUCAACUCACUUAGAAAUGGUGAUGCUGGUGUUCGGUUUCUUCAACAGAUAGCUUGUGAUCUGCAUGAAUUACGGAAAAUUGGAAUCACUCGACAAGAGCAUCAUAUAGCUUGAGUCUUUACAAGUUCUAUCUGUAAUGUAUAUGUAGAAAAUAUUAUAAUUUAAGAGGUGUCUCUUCAAGAGGUUAAUGAUAAUGGAUGAUCAUUGUGAGUGAGCAUGAUACUUCCAAGAUCAAAGCAAUAUAUAUUUUAAGGAUCUGGUUGAUGAAGGUUCAUAAUUUACGUUCAGGACAGAGGUUCAUAUAGUCUGAGCACCCACAACUGUAUACUAUAUUCAGUAAUUGGAAAUGUGGCUGAUGCGUCUUCAGAGGUUGCUUCAUUUUUACCUUGUGUGUUUUACUUUUCUUUUCUUUAUAGAAUUGCUUGGUUUUGUAUUUUCUUAUCAUUAUCAUUUUUUCUAUAUUAACUUGAUUUCAUUCAGAAUUAGUAUUUUUUAUCUUUUUCUUUCUUAAAAAUGAGUGGUAAAUUUGUAAUAGGGUGAUUACUGUGUGAUAGCAAUGACCUGUGCAUUGUAAAACAUCUUCUGCAUGCUCACAUCUGCUGAGUUGUUCAAUAAUCUGGGGACUUGUAGUUUUGGCCAUCAAGAGUCUCAGCAAUGAGAGUAACAGUAUCAUUAUAUUCUUCUCUGUAAUAUAACUUAAAAAUUCUUAUUGAAAGUGCUGUUAUAAUUUCUAGUUUUUA